CUUCCAGCCUGCUCAACAAUCCACUCCCGAGCCAGAAGCUGCUCACCAAACACCCACUUUUGAGCUAGAAGUCACUCACCAUUCACCCACUCCCGCGCAUAAUGCCACAUUGGAAGUUACUCCAACCAAUUCCCCGCAUCUCUCCGACGGUGAUGUGCAUUCUUCUCCACCAUCAGACCAUGUUAUGUUUGACACUAGUGAAGCCGGGGAAAAUGCGGGGGAGAAUGUGGGGCAUCGCAAACGCUGUAGACCUGGCAUGGCGACUCCUACAUCAUAUCUUGUAACUGGACCAAGAGUAAAUAAGGGGCUGUGGGUAAACAAGAAAUUUACGCAUUCCGACGAUCACGUCAAAGCUAUCUGGGCUAAAAGAAAGAGAAAGUGAUGAGUUGUUUCCCAUUUCAUCCAUGUUUGUUGAAGAAAAGUGAAAUGUAUAUAACUUGUCUUGAUAUGCCCCGUACAUUUUAUGGCAAAUUUGUUGUUCUAAGUGAUGCUGCUUAGGGAUGCUCAAAUUAACCAACUGUAUUUGAA
This is a long non-coding RNA of Trifolium pratense (red clover), 528 nucleotides long. RefSeq lists it as uncharacterized. Lineage: Eukaryota; Viridiplantae; Streptophyta; Magnoliopsida; Fabales; Fabaceae. The record is from RefSeq and is a predicted model, not a curated record. The transcript is spliced from 3 exons.